GCCCGGAUGGCGAAAUCGGCAGACGCAGCGGACUUAAAAUCCGCGGCCCUCUUCGGGGCAUGCGGGUUCGAGCCCCGCUCCGGGCACCA
Molecule: transfer RNA, 89 nt
Filed under: Ideonella sp. WA131b
Lineage: Bacteria; Pseudomonadati; Pseudomonadota; Betaproteobacteria; Burkholderiales; Sphaerotilaceae
Description: tRNA-Leu
Rfam family: tRNA
About the family: Transfer RNA (tRNA) molecules are approximately 80 nucleotides in length. Their secondary structure includes four short double-helical elements and three loops (D, anti-codon, and T loops).
Source: RNAcentral